CACGAAGUUAGCCGGUGCUUAUUCUUUGGGUACCGUCAUCCCUGUCGAGUAUUAAUCAACAGGAUUUCUUUCCCAACAAAAGGGCUUUACAACCCGAAGGCCUUCUUCACCCACGCGGUAUGGCUGGAUCAGGCUUGCGCCCAUUGUCCAAUAUUCCCCACUGCUGCCUCCCGUAGGAGUCUGGACCGUGUCUCAGUUCCAGUGUGGCUGAUCAUCCUCUCAGACCAGCUACGGAUCGUCGCCUUGGUGGGCCUUUACCCCACCAACUAGCUAAUCCGACAUCGGCUCAUCCAAUCGCGUGAGGCCUAAAAGGUCCCCCACUUUCACCCGAAGGUCGUAUGCGGUAUUAGCGUAAGUUUCCCUACGUUAUCCCCCACGACAAGGUAGAUUCCGAUGUAUUCCUCACCCGUCCGCCACUCGCCACCCACAAGAGCAAGCUCUUGCCGUGCUGCCGUUCGACUUGCAUGUGUUAGGCCUACCGCCAGCGUUCACUCUGAGCCAGGAUCAAACUC
This 512-nucleotide ribosomal RNA is filed under the name uncultured Pseudoxanthomonas sp. RNAcentral's name for it is "partial 16S ribosomal RNA". Lineage: Bacteria; Pseudomonadati; Pseudomonadota; Gammaproteobacteria; Lysobacterales; Lysobacteraceae. The record is from RNAcentral.